GAUGAACGCUGGCGGCGUGCUUAACACAUGCAACUCGAACGGAAAGGCUCCUGCUUGCAGGGGUACUCGAGUGGCGAACGGGUGAGUAACACGUGGGUGAUCUGCCCUGCACUUCGGGAUAAGCCUGGGAAACUGGGUCUAAUACCGGAUAGGACGAUGGUUUGUAUUCCAUUGUGGAAAGUUUUUCGGUGUGGGAUGAGCUCGCGGCCUAUCAGCUUGUUGGUGGGGUAAUGGCCUACCAAGGCGUCGACGGGUAGCCGGCCUGAGAGGGUGUACGGCCACAUUGGGACUGAGAUACGGCCCAGACUCCUACGGGAGGCAGCAGUGGGGAAUAUUGCACAAUGGGCGCAAGCCUGAUGCAGCGACGCCGCGUGGGGGAUGACGGCCUUCGGGUUGUAAACUCCUUUCGCUAGGGACGAAGCGCAAGUGACGGUACCUGGAGAAGAAGCACCGGCUAACUACGUG
Molecule: ribosomal RNA, 465 nt
Filed under: uncultured bacterium
Lineage: Bacteria
Description: partial 16S ribosomal RNA
Rfam family: Bacterial small subunit ribosomal RNA
Source: RNAcentral